UACGUAGGGUGCGAGCGUUAAUCGGAAUUACUGGGCGUAAAGUGUGCGCAGGCGGCCGCGCAAGUCGAGUGUGAAAGCCCCGGGCUUAACUUGGGAAUUGCGCUCGAAACUACGUGGCUGGAGUGUGGCAGAGGAAGGUGGAAUUCCAGGUGUAGCGGUGAAAUGCGUAGAGAUCUGGAGGAACACCGAUGGCGAAGGCAGCCUUCUGGGCCAACACUGACGCUCAUGCACGAAAGCCAGGGGAGCAAACGGG
Molecule: ribosomal RNA, 253 nt
Filed under: uncultured bacterium
Lineage: Bacteria
Description: partial 16S ribosomal RNA
Rfam family: Bacterial small subunit ribosomal RNA
Source: RNAcentral